GGCUGCUGGGCUGCUGGGCUGGGCCCACCCAUCCCUGCAGUCCCUGGGAAUAGACAACCCUAGGAUCCAGUGAGCCCUGGGCUCUAACCUGGCCACAGACACUUCUGUCCUGGGCCACCCUGGCCUGGACAGAAAUGCCUCAGUCUAAAGCCAGUUUCCCCUAAAUUCCUCCCCAGAGCCGAGAAGCAGCACUAGGCAGAGGGAGGAGCUCAUCCCAGGGGUCCAGGACCUGGCCUCCAGCUGCUGCCAACCCUCCCUGGUGUGUGGCCUUCUGCCUCUCCCAGUCUGUUUCCUCACCUGUGAAGCAAGAAUAAGGCACCGCUAGGCUGUCUCAGGGCUGCCAGGGGGACCCUUGGGGUACAAGCCACCAGGCGGAUGGUUACCUCAGGCUAGGACCUCACCUGGCGCUCAGGGAAGAGACCACUGGCCUUAGCCUUCAGUAGCACUGCCCACUCGGGCCACAUGCGCUAGGUGGCUUGCAGUCUGCACGCCCCUGUCCCUCCUAUGUGCCCGUCUUACUGUGUGUCUUCUGCCAAGGGCAAAGCUCUCUGCCUGGUCUUCGAAGUUCACUCUAUGCCAGUCAUUCCUGCCACAGAGAAAUCAGCCACAAACCUGCUCAGUGAGCCUGACGCGUGUCCCCGUGUGUCCUCCGGAUCUGACCCCCUCAGAGCUUAGUGACCAGGAGGAGGACGUGCCUGGGCCUCCCUGAGCAGAAAGACAUGCAAACAGCCUGCCACCACCCAGCGUUUUAAACACGCUGCCUUGUACGUCCAGGCUGGACGGUAGCACUCCACAUCCUGAGAGGGAUCAGGCCCUGUGACCAUCUUUCCUCUGGUGCUUUGUGGGUAGAGAGUUAUUUAAAGGAAGUCUCACGAAAUUUUCACCAUUCCCGAGAGAUUUGUGAUGUCUACGGCAAGUGACUCAUUCUCUGUGUUCUGCUUUGUUUUUUAACAAUAAUCAUCCAGUAGUCAGGCCCAGGACUGGUCCCAUGAACCUUGUGAGCCAUGGCCCCAGCAGUGCUUCUGGCUUUCAUGGAUUCCACUGCAGAGAAAAUAAAAUCAUUGACAACGAGUGUACCCUGCACAGUGCCUUUAGGAAGGGGCAGGGUGGGGGCAUUGCUAGGCUUGGAGGAGGCAGGCCAGGGUGCUGGGCAGGG
Molecule: long non-coding RNA, 1156 nt
Filed under: Heterocephalus glaber (naked mole-rat)
Lineage: Eukaryota; Metazoa; Chordata; Mammalia; Rodentia; Bathyergidae
Description: lncRNA (ENSHGLG00100040125.1)
Source: RNAcentral